Molecule: long non-coding RNA, 251 nt
Organism: Neopelma chrysocephalum (saffron-crested tyrant-manakin)
Lineage: Eukaryota; Metazoa; Chordata; Aves; Passeriformes; Pipridae
Exons: 3
Source: RefSeq, a predicted model, not a curated record
CCCCCCCCGCGCCCACGCUGACGAUGCCGGUGGCCACGGUGACGCCCAUGCUGGCCGUGACAUCCAUGCCCAUGGCCGGCCGCGAGUACUCGCCCGCGGCCACCACGGCCGAGAACGGCGGAGGGAAGAGGAAGCAGAAGGAGAAGGAGCUGGACGAGCUGAAGAAGGAGGUCAACCUGGAUGAUCACAAACUGUCCCUGGAUGAGCUGGGCAGGAAGUACCAGGUGGACCUGUCACGGGUGAGAUGUCCC